AUGCAGCAUUGGUCACCAACAAACAAAACACAACUUCAGCUUGCUCUUCCUCUGUAUUCGGUGCACAUGAACAGAUCAUAUUUAAGCUUUAAACACCGUCUCUCCUCCCUGACGCAUUCAUUACUCAAAAUAAAUGAAUGGAUAAAUAAACUGUUAGCACAAAUCGUCCACGAUUCAAACUUAAAGUUCUCACUUCAACCUGCUCACUUACAACCAUUAAACAUUACCAUUAUAAAGUACUCUAAUUAUAUUCCGAUCAUAAAUUAUGAAAAAAAGUACAUAAAAGUGUAGCUGACACCGCAUCUAAACUGUAACUCAACAACAUUUUCUGUGGCCAAAAAAAAAAAAAAAAAAAAAACACAUUUCGCGCUCAUUUAAGAUCAGAGCGGAAAGCCGCCCGCAACCGAGGUGAAACGGACAAGUCCCGUAUAUCUGACGUUACCUCACACGGACUCCGUGUGUGGAUCUGAGCAGAUUCGCCAUCACUAGCGUGUCAGACGCGGCAGUCAGUGUGUAGUUUCAGAGCUCUGUCUAUUUUUACCUCGUGGAUCAGUGAAAAACCACUAUAUAGACGUUUAUGGAACAGAAGAAAUACGUGCAUUAAUCACGCCCAACACACAGCAUUAAUCAGGCCUCAUGGAUUUCUACUGCCUCACAGCCUUCUCAAACAAAAGUAUUUCUUAAAUAGACGGUUAAUACUAUUAAUUACCGUCCUAAAAGUACAUUCAAGCAGGAAACCAGCGGCCAAAAAAAAAAAAAAAAAAAGAUUUCGCGCUCAUUUAAGAUCAAAGCGGGAAGCCGGCCGCACCCCGCUUGCGAGACGAGACGGAUAAGUCCCGUUAAUAUCUACGUUACCUCACACGUACUCCGUGUGUGAAUCUGAGCCGAUCCGCUAUCACUAACGUGUCAGACACGGCGGUCUGUGUGUUUUUUCAUCGUGAAUCAGUGAAGAAACACUAUAUAGACGUUUAUGGAACAGCAGAAAAUACUCUCUUUAAUCACGCCCAACACGCAGCAUCAAUCAGAGCUCACGGAUUUCUACUCCCUCACAGUCACCUCAAACAAAUGUAUUUCUUAAAUAGACGGUUACUAUUACGAAUUACUGUCCUAAUACUGUCCUAAAAGCACAUUCACAUUAACGGCCUAACGUUAAUUACUAAUCUCUGCUAAUAUACCUUCAAAAAGCACUCUUGCUAAUAUGCAGAAUUAGCUAAUGCAUACACAAACUUCAAGCAACAAUGGUAUACACCACCUGGGCAACAUAUUUUAUAUCUUCAAAUUCGUUAUUAAAAGCAGACGUUAGAAAAAUAAACCAUCCGUACUCACCUCUGGAGAAUUCUGG
Molecule: long non-coding RNA, 1342 nt
Organism: Cyprinus carpio (common carp)
Lineage: Eukaryota; Metazoa; Chordata; Actinopteri; Cypriniformes; Cyprinidae
Source: Ensembl